GCUGGGUGUUGUGGCCCACACCUGUAAUCCCAGUGGAUUGGGAGGCUGAGGCAGGAGGAUGGAGAGUUCAAAGCCAGUUUCAGCAAAAGUGAGGUGCUAAGCAACUCAGUGAGACCUUGUCUCUA
Molecule: small RNA, 125 nt
Filed under: Marmota monax (woodchuck)
Lineage: Eukaryota; Metazoa; Chordata; Mammalia; Rodentia; Sciuridae
Source: RNAcentral